Molecule: ribosomal RNA, 399 nt
Filed under: Micromonospora saelicesensis
Lineage: Bacteria; Bacillati; Actinomycetota; Actinomycetes; Micromonosporales; Micromonosporaceae
Description: bacterial SSU rRNA
Rfam family: Bacterial small subunit ribosomal RNA
Source: RNAcentral
UAACACGUGAGCAACCUGCCCCAAGCUUUGGGAUAACCCUCGGAAACGGGGGCUAAUACCGAAUAUUACUUCUGGCCGCAUGGCUGGUGGUGGAAAGUUUUUCGGCUUGGGAUGGGCUCGCGGCCUAUCAGCUUGUUGGUGGGGUGAUGGCCUACCAAGGCGACGACGGGUAGCCGGCCUGAGAGGGCGACCGGCCACACUGGGACUGAGACACGGCCCAGACUCCUACGGGAGGCAGCAGUGGGGAAUAUUGCACAAUGGGCGGAAGCCUGAUGCAGCGACGCCGCGUGAGGGAUGACGGCCUUCGGGUUGUAAACCUCUUUCAGCAGGGACGAAGCGAGAGUGACGGUACCUGCAGAAGAAGCGCCGGCCAACUACGUGCCAGCAGCCGCGGUAAGA